AACGAACGCUGGCGGCAGGCCCAAUACAUGCAAGUCGAACGCACCGCAAGGUGAGUGGCAGACGGGUGAGUAACGCGUGGGAAUCUUCCUUGCAGUACGGAAUAACUCCGGGAAACCGGUGCUAAUACCGUAUACGUCCUUCGGGAGAAAGAUUUAUCGCUGCAAGAUGAGCCCGCGUCGGAUUAGCUAGUUGGUGGGGUAAAGGCCUACCAAGGCUACGAUCCGUAGCUGGUCUGAGAGGAUGAUCAGCCACACUGGGACUGAGACACGGCCCAGACUCCUACGGGAGGCAGCAGUAGGGAAUAUUGGACAAUGGGCGCAAGCCUGAUCCAGCCAUGCCGCGUGAGUGAAGAAGGCCUUAGGGUUGUAAAGCUCUUUUGGCGGGGAAGAUAAUGACGGUACCCGCAGAAUAAGCUCCGGCUAACUUCGUGCCAGCAGCCGCCGUAA
Molecule: ribosomal RNA, 447 nt
Filed under: uncultured bacterium
Lineage: Bacteria
Description: partial 16S ribosomal RNA
Rfam family: Bacterial small subunit ribosomal RNA
Source: RNAcentral